Molecule: ribosomal RNA, 442 nt
Filed under: uncultured ammonia-oxidizing beta proteobacterium
Lineage: Bacteria; Pseudomonadati; Pseudomonadota; Betaproteobacteria
Description: bacterial SSU rRNA
Rfam family: Bacterial small subunit ribosomal RNA
Source: RNAcentral
GGAGGAAAGCAGGGGAUCGCAAGACCUUGCGCUUUUGGAGUGGCCGAUGCCUGAUUAGCUAGUUGGUGGGGUAAUGGCCUACCAAGGCGACGAUCAGUAGUUGGUCUGAGAGGACGACCAGCCACACUGGGACUGAGACACGGCCCAGACUCCUACGGGAGGCAGCAGUGGGGAAUUUUGGAUAAUGGGCGAAAGCCUGAUCCAGCAAUGCCGCGUGAGUGAAGAAGGCCUUCGGGUUGUAAAGCUCUUUCAGUCGAGAAGAAAAGGUUGUGACUAAUAAUCACAACUCAUGACGGUAUCGACAGAAGAAGCACCGGCUAACUACGUGCCAGCAGCCGCGGUAAUACGUAGGGUGCGAGCGUUAAUCGGAAUUACUGGGCGUAAAGGGUGCGCAGGCGGCUUUGUAAGUCAGAUGUGAAAUCCCCGGGCUUAACCUGGGAAU